GGCUGUUGGUUGUAAUGGUUCUUAUCUUUCUUUUUUGCGGCGGCAAGUCUUGCGCUCCUUGCUGCAGCCUCAACGGCAGCAGCUUUGGCAGCAGAGUCCAUCUCUUUGCUUGAUUUUUUCUUCUUCAUCGAUGUCACCUUCUUAAGUCGCUCCUUCACAUCCACUGCCGAUGCGUCUUCCUCAGCAUCACCAUUCCCAGCAAGUUCAUCUGGCCCAGUGUUAACAUCAGAAUUGUUUCGCUGAUCCUGAUCCUUAACCUCUUUCUUUUCCUUC
Molecule: unclassified non-coding RNA, 273 nt
Filed under: Hevea brasiliensis (rubber tree)
Lineage: Eukaryota; Viridiplantae; Streptophyta; Magnoliopsida; Malpighiales; Euphorbiaceae
Source: RNAcentral